GAUGACGCGCCCAGGCUGCUCGCCGCCCUCAAGGAGAUGAAGGACGGGCUCGACCUCGUCGGAGGCUCGGAGCCAAGGUCGAGUCGCUCACCAGCAAGGUACCCCCUCGCGGGCUCCCCGCCCGCCGGAAUUGGGAACGAUGAGGGAAUGGUAAUUCUGAGCUACUGCCAGGGCCUCGUCUACUACCUUCUACGCAAGGCCAAGGGGCUGCCCGUCGAUGGCCACCCCGUCGUGCGCAGCCUUGUCGAGAUCAGGCUGUUUCUUGAGAAGAUUAGCCCAAUAGACAAGAAGAUGGAGUACCAGAUUCAGAAGCUCACCAAUGCCGCAGAUGGUGCGGCUGCCCAGGAUAAGGCGCCGGACAAUGUUAAGGGCAGGCAACAAGGCGACGACGACCUGUUGGGGUACCGGCCAAACCUGGAUAUGAUGGAUAUCAAAAUUGCUCCUGAAGGGCAGGGCAAAGAUGGUGUCUACGUUCCUCCGAGAAUUGGGCCAGCUGCCAUGGAUGAUAAUCAUAGUAAAGACGCUAUAAGGAAAAAGAGAAGAUUAUUACGCAUGGCAACAGAGAAUCCUUAUUUCAAGGAGAUGACUGAUGAUGAUGCUGAUAGACCAGAAGAGUGGAAGGAGACAGCAGGUGACGAAAGCAAAGAAUUCAUGACCUACAUGCGGCAGAGAGAGAAGAAAGAGAAAGCAGAAGAGGAGCUGUUCACCCGAGCUCCGGUAACCAAGCGUGAAAAGUACGAGAAGCAGAUGAAGAAGCAGCUUCAUGGGUUACAAGGCCUAACUGACGGGUUCGACCUGGGGAUGAACAUGCUGCUUGAUGGAGAGAAGGAAGACGAUGGUGGUUCUAGUGAGCCGCGGAGCAAGAGCGGGGGCCGGAGAAAACACCAGAAAGGCGGCAAGAGGAAGCGACAUUAG
Molecule: ribosomal RNA, 915 nt
Filed under: Triticum aestivum (bread wheat)
Lineage: Eukaryota; Viridiplantae; Streptophyta; Magnoliopsida; Poales; Poaceae
Description: partial small subunit ribosomal RNA
Source: RNAcentral